This 497-nucleotide ribosomal RNA is filed under the name uncultured bacterium. RNAcentral describes it as "partial 16S ribosomal RNA". It matches the Rfam family "Bacterial small subunit ribosomal RNA", at positions 28 to 507 of the family's 1533-position model. The record is from RNAcentral.
GAUGAACGCUGGCGGCGUGCCUAAUACAUGCAAGUCGAGCGAACAGAUAAGGAGCUUGCUCCUUUGACGUUAGCGGCGGACGGGUGAGUAACACGUGGGUAACCUACCUAUAAGACUGGAAUAACUCCGGGAAACCGGGGCUAAUGCCGGAUAACAUGUUGAACCGCAUGGUUCUACAGUGAAAGGCGGCUUUGCUGUCACUUAUAGAUGGACCCGCGCCGUAUUAGCUAGUUGGUGAGGUAACGGCUCACCAAGGCAACGAUACGUAGCCGACCUGAGAGGGUGAUCGGCCACACUGGAACUCAGACACGGUCCAGACUCCUACGGGAGGCAGCAGUAGGGAAUCUUCCGCAAUGGGCGAAAGCCUGACGGAGCAACGCCGCGUGAGUGAUGAAGGUCUUCGGAUCGUAAAACUCUGUUAUUAGGGAAGAACAAAUGCGUAAGUAACUGUGCGCGUCUUGACGGUACCUAAUCAGAAAGCCACGGCUAACUACGUG